Molecule: ribosomal RNA, 720 nt
Filed under: uncultured bacterium
Lineage: Bacteria
Description: bacterial SSU rRNA
Rfam family: Bacterial small subunit ribosomal RNA
Source: RNAcentral
GUGGAGCAAUCCAUGAGUAAAGUGGCGCACGGGUGAGUAACACGUGAAUUAUCUACCUCCGAGUGGGGAAUAACUGAGAGAAAUCUUAGCUAAUACCGCAUAACACUUACGAGUCAAAGCAGCAAUGCGCUUGGAGAGGAGUUCGCGGCCGAUUAGUUAGUUGGCGGGGUAAUGGCCCACCAAGACGAUGAUCGGUAUCCGGCCUGAGAGGGCGCACGGACACACUGGAACUGAAACACGGUCCAGACUCCUACGGGAGGCAGCAGUGGGGAAUUUUGCGCAAUGGGGGAAACCCUGACGCAGCAACGCCGCGUGGAGGAUGAAAUAUCUUGGUAUGUAAACUCCUUUCGAUGGGGAAGAUUAUGACGGUACCCAUAGAAGAAGCCCCGGCUAACUUCGUGCCAGCAGCCGCGGUAAUACGAGGGGGGCAAGCGUUGUUCGGAUUUAUUGGGCGUAAAGGGUGCGUAGGCGGUUUGGCAAGUCUUGUGUGAAAUCUUCGGGCUCAACCCGAAGCCUGCACAAGAAACUGCCGGGCUUGAGUAUGGGAGAGGUGAGUGGAAUUUCCGGUGUAGCGGUGAAAUGCGUAGAUAUCGGAAGGAACACCUGUGGCGAAAGCGGCUCACUGGACCAUAACUGACGCUGAUGCACGAGAGCUAGGGGAGCAAACAGGAUUAGAUACCCUGGUAGUCCUAGCCCUAAACGAUGAUUGCUUGAUGUGGC